This 454-nucleotide ribosomal RNA is filed under the name uncultured bacterium. RNAcentral's name for it is "partial 16S ribosomal RNA". It matches the Rfam family "Bacterial small subunit ribosomal RNA", at positions 28 to 507 of the family's 1533-position model. The record is from RNAcentral.
GAUGAACGCUGACAGAAUGCUUAACACAUGCAAGUCAACUUGAACUUCGGUUUGGGUGGCGGACGGGUGAGUCACGCGUAAAGAACUUGCCUCACAGCUAGGGACAACAUUUGGAAACGAAUGCUAAUACCUGAUAUUAUGAUUAUAUGGCAUCGUAUAAUUAUGAAAGCUAUCUGCGCUGUGAGAGAGCUUUGCGUCCCAUUAGCUAGUUGGAGAGGUAACAGCUCACCAAGGCGAUGAUGGGUAGCCGGCCUGGGAGGGUGAUCGGCCACAAGGGGACUGAGACACGGCCCUUACUCAUACGGGAGGCAGCAGUGGGGAAUAUUGGACAAUGGACCGAGAGUCUGAUCCAGCAAUUCUGUGUGCACGAUGAAGUUUUUCGGAAUGUAAAGUGCUUUCAGUUGGGAAGAAAAAAAUGACGGUACCAACAGAAGAAGUGACGGCUAAAUACGUG